Molecule: long non-coding RNA, 6678 nt
Filed under: Lupinus angustifolius (narrow-leaved blue lupine)
Lineage: Eukaryota; Viridiplantae; Streptophyta; Magnoliopsida; Fabales; Fabaceae
Description: long non-coding RNA (LANG_LNC003098)
Source: RNAcentral
CACUACCCAGUGGAAGUGCAGAAGCGUCCUAAAUCAGGACAUCGACAUGAAAGUGACUUUGUUGUUCACGAACCUUCACCAAUUGCCACCAGUCCUACACACCUCAGUGACAUCUAUAACAGCGACUACCUUAGAAGAAGUGCUGCCAAUAGAAACGUCCUGCCAUUUACACAAACAUAUGCCCAAAACAGCCAUCACGAGUUUUCAGACGCUGCGUCAAGUGACCGGUCGCUUUUCACAAGCUCAGAUGAGGCUUCUUUCACAACUGAGAGUACCAGGGACUCCUUCAGUACUGUUGACUAUGGUGAUUCUUGCAAUAUGGACACAAUUUCAUCUAUCUUCAAUUAUUCCAGACAAAAAUCCUACAACAAAUUUUCACUUAGUAGGCCACUUACCAGGUUCUUCCCUCAAAAGGGUCAUAUUGAAAGAGUACAAAGAAUUGAUCAAGAGUCUAAAAAAGCCACUCAUUCUUCACUUUAACAUCCAUCAAAUGGUAAUGGUGGCAUUUAUGUACAUUAUGGAAGCAACCCUCUCAGUGGUAUUACCUCAAUGUGAACUAUAUAGUUAUACAUUUUGGAAUCCUAACUGGUUAAACUGAUGAUUUAGGAUGGAUUAGGUGCCUCAAAGUUUUCAAUAUUUAGUUGAUUGAGGCAUAUAGUUCUGUUAAGCAAAAAUGUAUUUUUACUUUUGUUUAUCUAUAAUUGUAAAGAUGACUGCAAUGUUCCUUUGGUAUUAUCUAUUAAUUUAAUCCAUGAAAGCCCUUUCCUUAUACAAGUACUAUUGUACUUUUCCUUCUGAUUUACAUUUUGAAUGCUUUAUUAUCAUAAAGAAUAUAUUGUUUUAAUGAGAUACCUUGAUUUUUAUCUAUAGGUAGUAGUUUAUGACACUGAAUUUAUUGGAUUCCACCAUUCAAAACAUUAUUUUUCAAACUCCAAAAUAAAGGUGGAAAUUAGUAGAGUUGAAUUUGUUCAAGUGAACUAAUUAAGGAUUGGCUCAAAUGGAGUUCAAUCAAUUAUGAACUAUGUUUUCAACUCAAGUUUGACUCAAUUAAAGUUUAUGAACUUUUGAACAAAUUAACAAACUCGAAUUUAUGUCACUCUUCAACAUAAAUUUAAAGACUUACAAAAAGUCUUGAUGGGUUAUACAUAUACAAAUAGAAAAAAUUUGUAAAUUUUAAUAAUAAAGAAUUGAAAACAAUAUAAUUGAAAUUUAUUUGAAUUGUUAAAAUUAAAAGAUGAAUACAUAUGACUUUAAGUAUAUGACUUUAAGUAUUUAUGUAACUGUUAAGUAACUUUUACUGUUAAUUUUCAAUAAAUUUUUUCAACCAAUGACAGGUUAGUGGUAUAUGCAGUGGCACAACUUGUGGGACAACAGAUGUGCUCCUGUCAUGCCCUAUACUUUUAAAAACUAGGAGGAGAAAACACUACAAACGAUAUGUAUUGGUCUUUUAAAGGCAAAACUGUUCUUUAAAACAGAAACCAAACAUGCUGCAAAUUUUAGAGAUACCCGGUUUUCCUUCUGAACAUCUCUCUCUCAUAUUAGUUUCCUUUAUAAUCUUUUCUAAUUCUAUACUGAAAGUCCGAAAUAUUGUUGAGAACUUGAGAUUGUAUAAAACUUAUGCUUUGUCAUUAUUAAAUUAAACUUGUUUAUGUAGGCUUCUAAUUACAUCAAUGCAAUCUAUAUGCUUGGAGGGACUUGGUGGUGAGAAAAAGGUUGAUCCUAGACUACAGGAGACAACUUUCAUACAACAUACUUUUGGUGGUCGACUUCAAUCCAAGGUAUGUAUCACGUGUUUCCUUUUCUUCUCUUAUAUUUCCCUUUUCUCCUUUGGGCUUUAAAGUCUUUGAUAUUAGUGCUACUAUUCUUUUAUUUUUAUAGUUAAUUUUGCAUUUAGAGGGUGAGGCUUGGCGCUACGGUAAGGUUGUUUGUCUUGUGACUUGGAAGUCAUGAGUUCAAAUCCUGGAAACAGUUUGUUCGCUCGUGAUGGUAAGGCUGCAUACGUCUACCCUCCCCAGACUCCACUAGGUGGGAUCCUCGUGUACUGGCCGCCUUGAUAGUUAAUUUUGCAUUUGUUUGACGGCAUAGUGAAAUUUAAUAUCACAGGUUAAGUGUUUAAAUUGCAAUCACGAGUCUGAAAGGUAUGAGAACAUUAUGGACCUUACAUUGGAGAUAUUGGGUUGGGUUGAGUCGCUGGAAGAUGCACUAGCUCAGUUUACUUCCCCUGAAGACUUGGAUGGUGAAAAUAUGUAUAGAUGUGGAAGGUUUGAUGAUCUUUUCCUGUAUUUAUCUUUCACAAUUAUAUGUGGUUUAGUUAUAAUAAAAAGAUAUGUGAAAAAGAGAAAAACAAAGGAAGAUUUUAAGGUUUUCACUUCUAAUUGAGAAAUUAUCUCUAUACGUUUUGAACUAGGUGCACUUCAUAUGUUCGAGCAAGAAAGCAAUUGAGCAUACACGAGGCCCCUAACAUCCUCACUGUUGUUUUGAAGAGAUUUCAGGUAUCUUGUUUUUUUGUUCUCUAUUCUGCUUUGCGGUUCUUCUGUUGCUAAGCUUGAUUUUGUUACUUGUCUUGCUAGUUGUUCUUAUUGGUAUUUAUGACUGGGUGUUAACUAUUGGCAGAGGACAUGAAUUGAGUUUUAAAUAUUUAGCUAGAUGUUGAUGUUGUCGAGUGCUUCGUCAUUCAAUAAUGCUCUGAUCGGAUAUUCCAAUAUGCUAUGGUGAAUGAUAAAGCAAAGUUUUAUAGCUUGAUUUUGCCCUUGACUCGUUCUUUUGCUUCUGACAUAAUUACUUGAAAUGUGUUAUGGGUUGGUACCUGAUUUGCCACUAAUGAUUAUGUUACAAGACUUUCCAUAUGAUGAACUUGGCAUGCACUACUGCGAAUCUGUGAUUCACAUAUCACAUGGUUGUUAGUGAAUUGGGUAACUAGACUUCUGAGUUGGGUGCUUUUUAGGCACACUCCUAACAGAUUUGUGGGAUGAGGUAUCUUCAAUUAAAUGUUACUAUUAAAUAACAAAUAAUUCUUGUCACGAGGAACUUCACACUUAAUUUGGUCAUCGGCAACAAAUUGUGAGCUUAUUUGCCUUCAGAAAUUCAGUCUUUAAUUAUGCAAUGUCAGUGUAAAGAUUGAAUCUAGCAAGUCUUUAAUUAUCUAAUGUUUUUAGUUAUGCGGUUUUGAAGUUGUUUUAUGUUUGGAUUCUAUCCUUUUAUAUGCUUGACAAUGUUUCGAAUUUCUCCAUUUCCAUAUAUUGACCCAUUGGAAUAUCUUGUUUCUGGUUGUGCAUCAUCAGGAAGGAAGAUAUGGAAAAAUUAACAAGUGCAUAACUUUUCCUGAGAUGUUGGAUAUGAUCCCAUUUAUGACUGGGACGGGUGAUAUUCCUCCACUUUACAUGCUUUAUGCUGUCGUUGUGCACCUCGACACGCAAAAUGCAUCUUUCUCUGGACAUUAUAUUUCGUAUGUGAAAGAUCUGCAAGGCAAUUGGUACAGGGUAGAUGAUACUGAGGUAAUUUGUUACCUUGUUUGCAUUCUUUGUAUGUAAUUUCCUAAGUGGUAAUCUACUUUUUAUGUAACCGUUUUUGUUGCUUAGUAUUUUGUAUUCACAUCAUAUAUAUUUUGUGGAGAUUAAAAUUUAGGAGAGGAACCCUCACGAAUAAGUUGAAUUAUUGCUUAGUAUUUUGUAUUCACAUCAUAUAUAUUUUGUGGAGAUUAAAAUUUAGGAGAGGAACCCUCACGAAUAAGUUGAAUUAAGACGUAAUCAAAGCAAUCAGACGAACUUGUGACUAUUAAUACUUUGCUACAAGUUUGUGUCUACUAGGUACCAAAGCUUCAUAACUUCUCAAUUUGGAAUUACAAAUUAUGUCAUUUGGCGGCCGCAGGGUUAGAUUCUGUGGCAUAGCACAUUUUCUAGCUGCUUAAUUUCUCUUUUAUAAUAAGCACACUAGACUGGAUAAGAUUAGGAACAAAUACAUUAGACUAUUAGAAAGAAAGUUGAGGUAACAUCUACUAUAAAAAAGAUGGUAACCUUGCCUUAGGUGGCUCGGUUAUGUGUGGAAUGUGGAGAAGAUCUGUAGACCUGAUAAUUUUCCGAGAGUAAAUCAGAUGGAGUGUAGCCCAAUCAUAGAUGUUGGGGGAGACCAAGUAUAACUGUAGUCAGAAGUCAGAAUCAUUACGAUGGAUUUAGAUGUCAAUGGUUUGUCACAUAAUUUAUGAUAAAACAUUAUGGUAUCGUUUGAUACAAAUAGUUAACCUCACCUAGCUGGAAAAAUCUUGGUUGUUGUUAAUAAUAAGCCAAAUAGUGACUUUUUUAUGUAUCUACUUUAUGAGAUGAUUGGUUUAAAUGGGCAUGGGCUUUGUGAACCAAAAUAUGAGAUGUUUGACUGUGUUUCCAUUGGAAAAUCAGUUUUAAGUAAUGCAUCAUAAAUCACCUGUAGAGGAAACAUUUCUCAGAAUAUUAGAGGUCACAUUAUCUUAUAUUGACUUGGUAGAAUUUCAUCCCUAGAUAUUCAGUUAGCAGAAUUUCAUUUGUUGAGUAUUGGUAACUGUAGAGGAAGUCUUCAAUGCCCCAAACUCCUUCUAAGUUAUGUGUGCAUUGUUGACCAUUAACAUGUACCACACCUUGACCUGUUUAGUCGCAUUUUGACUUUUAACCUUGUAUUAGUUCUUUCUUCACUUUCGCCCAAAUAGUUGAAAGGACAAUUUUGUCCCUGCAUAUUAGAUGAAUCUGUUAUUCUUUUUCACUUUUGACCCAAAAAUGAUCUACAACAGCCUGAUUUUGCGGGGGCGAUUUCCACCAUCGAUUCCAGUCCUCAUUCUUCAUUAUUACCACAUCCAUGCCAGCUGCUUCAUGGCAUCAUGCUUCACCAUUGCCAUCUACAACUUUAUUUUGCUUCCACCUAAAACCAUAAAUAGCCUUACACAUAGUAAUUACACAGAAACAAAAUGAAUUACUUCAAUAAUCAUUGCCAACACACAAAUAUACUUCACAACCACAAGGGGGAAGUUCAAAUGCUCACUGCAACUUCCUUUCAAAUUUCCAAAAUAUUAUUCAUCAAUGAUUGAACCAUUUCAUGGUUUUUUUAUCAGCACCAUUUCAUGGUUAAUUUCAUGCUUAUUUUAACUUUCUUUUUUAAACAUUAAUAUUAAUUAUCAUAAACGUCAAAUUAACCAUGAAUGCCUAAAGGGUGCUGUUUCUAUUUUAUAAGCAAAUGACUUUGUUUACUAGAUGGCCCAAUUGAUAAAUGUUCUUUGCUGGGGCACUGAAGAGAAAGGCUGUCUCGGUUGCCUAAACAAGUUCUAGCGGUCGGGAUGGAAUAAAACGGAAUACACGGCUAACGUGCCACAGUGCAUGCCUUACAAGGAGUUUGAGGCAUUGAAGAACGAGUCGUAACUCUUCCUUGUUAAGUUACAAAUUGGAAUGCAAGGCUUGCACUUGCACUAGCAUUUCAAGAUUGGUACAUUAAGAGAAUAGUCGUUCUUUCCUUCUCAUAUCUGCAUUAGAUUGGUUUUCACAAAUUUAAGGCAUGUCUGCACAGAAUACCCUCCUCAAACCCACUAUGUGGGAGCCUUGUACACUGGGUCAACCUUUUAUGUUAUGCAUGUGGGAACUUUUGACAAAUUCCUUCAGCUUGACGAGGAAGUGUUUCAGUUUUGGCAUGACUAUGUUAAGUGAUUAGACGAACUGUCGAACUCUCAAGAGUGAAACUAUAAAUGAUUUAUUUUAGCUUUAAUGGGAUUGAAAUUGUUAAUUAUGAUCACAUUUUCCAUAAUUGAUGUGACUCUGACCUUUGGGUUUGUUUGGUAUUUUAUCACUCUUUUUGCAUUCAAUUUCUUGUUAUUUUCCCCCAAUGGUUAUGUCUUGUUAACAUGACUUCCAAGUUCCAGGCUAUAGGUAAAUGAACACAUGACUCAAACAUUUUUUUAGUCAUAUUAUUCACAUCUCUUAAACUUGGAUAGACAGCUAUUUACAGCAGGUGCAUACUCUAAUUUUUAUUCUAAUUACUGAAGAUAUCAACUACUAUCAACAACUAAGCAAGGAAUAUCUAAGUAUCAAUACAUACUAAUAAUCUGCUUGAAUUUUUCUAGUUUCAUUGGGUUUUAAUUCCUCAGAUUUUGCUUUAUCAACAGGUUCAACCAGUGCUAAUUGAUCAGGUGAUGUCAGAAGGAGCCUAUAUCUUAUUCUACUUGAGGUAAAGAUUUAAUUGCUUUUACAGUUGUUUGUCUUCAAACAUCUUCGAUUAAAACAGCUUUUGCUUACUUAUCGUUCUACGAUGAUCCACAUUUUCACUUAUUCUUCAUGAAUACCAUAUCCGAUCCAUUUUUGCGGUUAGCAUCUAGGAAACCGUAAUCUUCAUCCCUUCUUUAUAGAUGGCAGUGUAUAUUUAUAUUUUGCAUGCUGUAUAUAUGCUUUCCUUAGGUCUUGCCCCCGUCCUCCGGUAGAACUUACCAGGAAAGCCAUGAAUCAAUCAGUUCCCGGAUCUUCAAAACACUACCCAGUGGAAGUGCAGAAGCGUCCUAAAUCAGGACAUCGACAUGAAAGUGACUUUGUUGUUCACGAACCUUCACCAAUUGCCACCAGUCCUACACACCUCAGUGACAUCUAUAACAGCGACUACCUUAGAAGAAGUGCUGCCAAUAGAAACGUCCUGCCAUUUACACAAACAUAUGCCCAAAACAGCCAUCACGAGUUU